UACGUAGGGUGCGAGCGUUAAUCGGAAUUACUGGGCGUAAAGCGUGCGCAGGCGGUUUGUUAAGACAGAUGUGAAAUUCCCGGGCUUAACCUGGGAACUGCAUUUGUGACUGGCAAGCUAGAGUAUGGCAGAGGGGGGUAGAAUUCCACGUGUAGCAGUGGAAAUGCGUAGAGAUGUGGAGGAAUACCGAUGGCGAAGGCAGCCCCCUGGGCCCAAUACUGGACGCUCAUG
Molecule: ribosomal RNA, 231 nt
Filed under: uncultured bacterium
Lineage: Bacteria
Description: partial 16S ribosomal RNA
Rfam family: Bacterial small subunit ribosomal RNA
Source: RNAcentral